RNAcentral lists this ribosomal RNA (253 nucleotides) under uncultured bacterium. RNAcentral describes it as "partial 16S ribosomal RNA". It matches the Rfam family "Bacterial small subunit ribosomal RNA", at positions 524 to 776 of the family's 1533-position model. The record is from RNAcentral.
UACGAAGGGGGCUAGCGUUGCUCGGAUUUACUGGGCGUAAAGGGCGCGUAGGCGGACAGUUAAGUUGGGGGUGAAAGCCCAGGGCUCAACCUCGGAACUGCCUUCAAUACUGGCUGUCUUGAGUGUGAGAGAGGUGUGUGGAACUCCGAGUGUAGAGGUGAAAUUCGUAGAUAUUCGGAAGAACACCAGUGGCGAAGGCGACACACUGGCUCACUACUGACGCUGAGGCGCGAAAGCGUGGGGAGCAAACAGG